Molecule: ribosomal RNA, 253 nt
Filed under: uncultured bacterium
Lineage: Bacteria
Description: partial 16S ribosomal RNA
Rfam family: Bacterial small subunit ribosomal RNA
Source: RNAcentral
UACAGGGGGGGCAAGCGUUGUUCGGAAUUACUGGGCGUAAAGCGCACGUAGGCGGCUUUGUAAGUUAGAGGUGAAAGCCCGGGGCUCAACUCCGGAACUGCCUUUAAGACUGCAUCGCUUGAAUCCGGGAGAGGUGAGUGGAAUUCCGAGUGUAGAGGUGAAAUUCGUAGAUAUUCGGAAGAACACCAGUGGCGAAGGCGGCUCACUGGACCGGUAUUGACGCUGAGGUGCGAAAGCGUGGGGAGCAAACAGG